UUCAUCUUCACCACCGUCAGUGAUUUGACAACAGUAGCCUCCUGCUCCUGAUCCAUCGAUGGGUUUUCCUUCUACAGCUUAGGGCACACCUCCUUCUGGUGGCCAUAGUAGCCACAACCAAAACAAACAUUUGGUUAAAGGCUGAAGUUAUUUGAUCGAUCUCGUGGUGGUGAAGAGACUUCGUUGUUCGAUCUAAGGUUGGGGAUUUCUUGGAGUUGCUUUUACGUAAGAAACGAUAUAGGUGUGUACCCAAAAUGUAGAAAACGAGGUUUUGGCAAAAGCCGAAAAUCCCACUGUCGAUGCCACACGAGUGUGUGGUUGCCCGUGUGGUAGGCCAUGUGCAACCACAUGGUCGUGCGAUCGACGAGGCCAGACCGUGCUUGCAAGAUAUGACCAUGUGAUAGCCAAGGCAAAAUUAGCCCGUGCAUGUCACACGGGUGUGAGCGUGUGAGCCCAUUUUCACUAAAUUGAUUGCUAAGGUUGCACGGGUCGCCCAAGUAGACUGUGAACCUAUUGUAGGGUCGGUGGAGGAAGUGUACUGAAAGGCUCUUAAGCCUAAUAUACUGGCAGCUCAGCUGCAAAUUACUGUUUUGUACCGCAUUCGGUACUAUCUGGAGUGUAGGGAUAGGUGGGUUGAUUUAAUCCCCACAUAAAGUGUAGGGUUGGACAAAGAUGGUGGUAGAGGCUGGUUGGGUAGGACCUUGUUAUUGAAUACGGCAUGACUGCUAUUGAUACUGUGAUGGCCUAAGGCCCUAAUGCAUACUGAUACUGUGAUGGUUUAAGGCCCUACUGCAUUUUUUUUACUGUAUUGAGAUGGGUUAAGGCCCAAACGAUUCUUCGAUCUUGAAAGGGCUUAGGCCCAAAAUCAGAUUUUUGUGCCUUUGUGUCAACCAUUGAAGAAUUGAUUCUCAAAAUGAUUUGAAAUGUUUCUACUGAGUAUGUGGUACAUCGAGUCUCCGGCGCCAAUCUUGUUAAAGGGCUAAAGUUAUUCGAUCGGUACCGUAGUGGUGAAGAGACUUCGUUGUUCGAUCUAAGGUUGGGGAUUGUUUCGAGUUGCUUUUACGUUGAAAAUGAUACAGGUGUGUACCCAAAACGUAAAAAAGGGUUUUGGAGAAAGCCGAAAACCCCACUAUCGACGCCAGACGGGCUUGUGGUUGCCUGUGUGGUAAGCCGUGUGCGACCACACGGUAGUGCAAUCAACGAGGCCAGGCCGUACGUGCAAGACAAGGUCGUAUGAAGGCCAAGGCCAAAUUGAGCUGUGCGGGCCAGACGUGUAUGGCCCCACACGGGCAGGUCUCAUGGGUGUGUGAGCCCAUUUUCACUAAAUUGAUUGCUAAGGUUGCAUAGGUCACCCAAGUCGACUGUGAACCUACUGUAGGGUCGGUAAUCCCCAGACCUAGGCGGAUCGGUGCGGCGGAGGACUCAACGGUGACCAUAGUUUCUGGACUUUACAUUUUUUUAAUUUAUGUUUUAUGGUUUUAUUAUUAUUGGGAUGUAAUUUGAGGACUCUUGGGACUUUUGCUUAAAUUUGGUUUUUUUUGUGGAAUUAUAAUUUCUAAUCGUAGAAAGUUCGGUUUUCAAAA
Molecule: long non-coding RNA, 1583 nt
Organism: Gossypium arboreum
Lineage: Eukaryota; Viridiplantae; Streptophyta; Magnoliopsida; Malvales; Malvaceae
Exons: 7
Source: RefSeq, a predicted model, not a curated record